UUCAAUCAUUUAUAUUAUGUAUUUAUGUAGGUAUCAUGAUAAUAAUGUUAUUAUCAUCAUGAUACCAUAUUUUAUGUACCAUUUUAUUUAUGUACGUAGGCACAGAACAAAUGCGACACAUGUACCUACCUACCUACAUACCUAAUACUAAGGCCCAAUCAAUCAAAAGGCAUCACCACGCAACCAGUGCAAUGCAGUGCAGUGCAGUGGAAUGACUGCAUUGGCCAUCCAGUAGUUAAUCAGUUACUAGAUGCAAGAAGUGUGCGGACCACCGGCCCCGGGCCCUCUCAACCUUAUGCGAGUACCUACAUACAUACAUACAUAACUGUGCACCCGUACCGGCACCGUCUACUAUCUACUGUCGUCAAUUAGGAUGCAGUAUGGAUCGCAGACACAUCUCAUCGUCCAGUUUUCCAGUUUCCACCAGCCAUACCACCAGCUAUGACCAGGCACCAGACGCCAGCGGCGCUUCCUCAACGUUAUGCUUAAACGCCACACUAUAUAUGUACAGGGUGAAGGUU
Molecule: long non-coding RNA, 521 nt
Organism: Manduca sexta (tobacco hornworm)
Lineage: Eukaryota; Metazoa; Arthropoda; Insecta; Lepidoptera; Sphingidae
Exons: 3
Source: RefSeq, a predicted model, not a curated record